Molecule: ribosomal RNA, 497 nt
Filed under: uncultured bacterium
Lineage: Bacteria
Description: partial 16S ribosomal RNA
Rfam family: Bacterial small subunit ribosomal RNA
Source: RNAcentral
GAUGAACGCUGGCGGCGUGCCUAAUACAUGCAAGUCGAGCGAACGGACGAGAAGCUUUCUUCUCUGAUGUUAGCGGCGGACGGGUGAGUAACACGUGGAUAACCUACCUAUAAGACUGGGAUAACUUCGGGAAACCGUAGCUAAUACCGGAUAAUAUUUUGAACCGCAUGGUUCAAAAGUGAAAGACGGUCUUGCUGUCACUUAUAGAUGGAUCCGCGCUGCAUUAGCUAGUUGGUAAGGUAACGGCUUACCAAGGCAACGAUGCAUAGCCGACCUGAGAGGGUGAUCGGCCACACUGGAACUGAGACACGGUCCAGACUCCUACGGGAGGCAGCAGUAGGGAAUCUUCCGCAAUGGGCGAAAGCCUGACGGAGCAACGCCGCGUGAGUGAUGAAGGUCUUCGGAUCGUAAAACUCUGUUAUUAGGGAAGAACAUAUGUGUAAGUAACUGUGCACAUCUUGACGGUACCUAAUCAGAAAGCCCCGGCUAACUACGUG